UUGGUACUCCCUCCGUCCGGAAAUACGUAUCAUCAAACUGGAUAAAAGGAGAUGUAUCUAGACGUAUUUUAGUUCUAGAUACAUAUCUUUUUAUCCAUUUUGAUGACAAGUAUUUUCGGGCGGAGGGAGUAAUAA
Molecule: non-coding RNA, 135 nt
Organism: Triticum aestivum (bread wheat)
Lineage: Eukaryota; Viridiplantae; Streptophyta; Magnoliopsida; Poales; Poaceae
Source: Rfam